GAGACGACAUGUAAUGUUACUAUAAUUAAAGGUUAUCAUUAUUCGAUAUCUGUUGGGCAGAAUAAGGUGAGAAUGAUCUGUAGGUUUCUACACAAUAUUGAUUAGUGCCCCUUUAAGGAUGGAGGGGACUCAAAUGUUACAUUUCUGUGAAUUUAUGGCAAACUAAUAAUGGUUGGCCUUCGGCUAAAACAUUUAACAGUUGUAACUUCAGACAACACCUUCCUACUCUUAUUAAUGUUUGACCAAACAUGUUAAUUUGAUGUAGUACAAGGUCAUAAACCAUCAAAAACAUAUUACGUUGUCAGAGGUGCAGAAGAACUAACUAAAUCACAAGAAUAAUCUUUCAGAAAGUGGCUUUUUAAAAUAGUUGUAUUACAUUUUGAUAGCGAGGUGGGUCUGAGAGAGAGACAGAGACUAAUGUUGAACAUAUUUAUGAGUGGUGCUUUAGUUUAAGAGCUGUGAGGGACUUUGUCUCCCUUUUAGCCAAAAACAAUGACACAUCUUCAAAAUGACCUUUACCAUCAUUUUCACACAUAAUGACGAAUGUGACUAGAACGAAACAAAAUGACACAAAGGGCUGCUAACAGACAACAACAAAGGCCACAUUUUAUUUUUGCCUUUAAUUUGCUUUCAAUCAAUACAUAUGAGCAACGUGGGCUACAGAACACGCUAACGUCCGUAGGGAGGCAAACAGCAACGCUGCAUCUCAGCGGAAGGACAAAAGACAUUCAGAGGGAGGACACGUGUGCUGGAGAGGCGAAAGGGCCGCGUUCACUUCCUCUGAUGCUCGCCCUUUAGCAGCAUGUGUGUUAUCUGGGUGUGUGUGACGUCUGCGUGGGCGCACAACGCGCAUAGACCGGCGCUACAUUGCCGCUUCUUAAUGUGGCCCUCGUUGUGUUGUGUAGGGAGAGAGAUGAGAGCAUUGAGCGGCAACCGCACACCGUCCUCUCGCCGUUACUUCAGAGGACAUUACAUUGACUCACAUUCAUUUCCUGGAGACAAAAGCCUAAGUUUCCUCUUCCAAACAUUACCCAAAACCUAAUAUAUAUAUUGACCCUGAAAGAACUCUCCUCCAUUAGAUGAGGACUCGCUCAAACAGACACAAACACACACACAACAACAACUCUAACCUAAAUCACAUCCAAUCUGAACCCUCAAAGACAGCCAACAUGUCCUCAAUUUAUAGGUCCUCACUCUGAAGGUCUAACCCGCCAACUGGUCCCCAAAUGCAUAUUUCCUCACAAUCAAACACACGUUUCUCAGAUGAAGUUUACUCCAGGAGCAUCUGCUGGACCAGCCGUCAAUUCAGAAGUUGCCACAUGCACAAAUAGGAACGUGCACACACACACACACACACACAAUAAACAAAGACGAGUGACGUCACUGUGCUCUCGGCAUGCUCCGGGGAGUUCUGUUGUCAUGGCGACCCCCCAGUCACACGGACUCAGGAACUGUACUAGUGCGGCCGCCUGUACCGAGGACGCACAAACCCGUCUCUGGUGUUUGCGGAGCAUCUACACAAUAUGUUGCAAAACUCCAAAGCAGAGCCGGGGAUCAAACCACCGGUCGUCGUGUCGGAGGACGACCCCCCCCCCCCCCCCGCUCGCCCGUCUUCCUUCUCGAGACGCCAAAGCGAUGGAUGAACCGCCUCAGAAGUUGCGGUCUGAAUGGCUGAGAUUUCAUAUUUAAAAUAUUUUUGUAUGUAUGAAAUUAAAACACCUUAAAUAUCCAUGAGUAUCUCGAGCGGAUCAAGGUUCAGGCCGUCCUCCUUUUCCUCUGUGUCUGUUUCUUUCAACAGUGUAAUGAUGGUCUUAUAACAUGUUCAGUGGGAGCUUACAAUACCGUCAGACACAAUUUAAUCAGCGCUGUAAUUUGAUCGGGACCUGCUGCCAUCUUUGUUUGAGCAACAUUGCCGCUCACAUGGCAACAAACAAAUUGGGCUUUGGGUGAACUGCUCACGAGCAACGAGAAAAAUAAAGAAACGGCAGAAUUAUUUUACAGCUAGUUUUCUUUUCAGGUUUAAUCAUAGACAAUAUCUUGGAAACAUAGUUCCAAGAAAUCGUGGCUAUGUAAUUACAAGAACAUUCGACAUGGAAUAUCUAUAAUUCGGAGUAAUUGAGUUAGAACGCCCAAUAACUGAGCACGGCUACGGCUUUGAGUCUGACCCGUGACCUUUUGUUUCAUGUGGUUUCGGGUCUCGGUCUGGCUUUGUGUGUCCUCUCCUACAUUCUCCGUCUCUCUCGCUCAUGCACGUCAUCUUAAUAAAUCGCUCUGCAGAGCAGCAGAGCGUCACCUCCAGACCUUUGUAUCAGCGAGGGAGGAAGUUCUCUUUCUACCAUUUACUCUGCUUUUGUUUGAUUUAGGACCCGCUACGUCAUUCGCUGCCACCGCGACAUGUUCGCACCAUAAUGGGACGUCGUUAGUUGGAGGUACAUCCAGAAGAGGAGCAGUAGCGCUUGAAGCAACCCCCGAUCGGAGAGGUCAACAGCGGAAGUGGGGGAGGAGGCGGUGAGGCUGAAGAACGCCGCCAUUAACGAGACUUUUAUGACCAAGUCGCGGACAAACGGCCUGAUACACUCACCUGCAUGAACUGCUCAUAAGUGCAAUGGCGAACACCUUUCUGUGAAAGGUUGAAAAUGAUUGGCCAGUUGGUUUUACGCAGCCCCAACGCCUCUCACCAUGGACACAAACCGUGUGUGCCUCCCUUCUGGGUGGAGGCUGCAGAAUAUCACUGUACAAAUACAGUUUCUUCCCAUCUGCAGGUGGGUUCAUCAACGUUUUAAUGUGCCGAUUUAAUAUUUGGUAACCGUAUUUUAUCAUAAAUUUAUGAAUCUUCAUAUUUCACUACAAUCACUGAGCAAAUUCUGUUGAAUGUGUGUUAGAAAAAAUGGAAAGAAAUGGAAGAGAGUCAAUAAAACCUUACAACAUUAGCCAACACAGCCACCAUGCUGUUCCUGUUCCUGUCUGAUAAAAUCAUCCUGAAAAAAAACACUUUCAUAGAUUCUCUGUCCACUAAGACAGAACAAUAAUUUCAUUUCCGCAACAAUGUGUAACUCACUUGGCAAUAAAUAUGCCAAGUUUUUGAUGCUGUUAGUAUAUCGGCUGGUUCUGUAAAGCAAAGCUCUUACAGAUUCUUUGUUUCAUUACUCCUUUCUUUAGUAAAGUCAGUACUCAUCUUGCCUGUUUGUGCUUCUCUUCCCCACUGACUUUGUACCACUUAUUGACGUGGCAAUCAAACAGAGAGGCGGUUUUCAAAGUACAGUAAAGCACACAAUGAGGUCAAUUACGUCUGCAAGAGUUGCUAAUGUCUUCCUUCCUUGCUUUCAAAUGAUUGUCUCCCUCCCAUCCAUUAAUGCGAGAUGAUUAGAGCCAUUACAAAAUAACCCGAUCCAUUCAGCCCUACUUACGCUCAGCGGAUUACAUUCAUGACUCGCGUUCAGCCCCCUGGGCAGAAGUCCACGUAGGCCGGCAGUAAGCGCUGGAUGACUUUGUGCUCUGCUUUCUUGACCACUGCCAUAUUAUACCUAUCGUCGACAUAUACGGACUGGACAACUGGCUAGGUAGCUGGUUGGCUUGUCCAUUUCCAGAGGCUCCCCGGGCCCCUUAACGAGAGCACACUGUGUGGGAUGGGUUGAAUCUUUUAUCAGAUAAAAUGUAUGCAAGAGCGAUUGUGGUACCCAACAAUACUGCAAGAGUGCUGCAGCAAACACUGUGAUGGCAUCAUUUAAAAGAUAUUUUUCCAGUGCUUGUAUGGUUAAUAUACCAUAAUAAUAUUAGUGCUGAGCAAAGAUGAAAAAAUUGAAUCGAUUAAUCGCUGGACUUUUCUGUGAUUAAUGGUGAUUAAUCGCAUUAUGCGCAAAAUGUAAUAAUUCAAUGAAAACCAGUGUAUUGCACACUUUUAUUUUAAAGUAAUGUUACCAGAACAAUAUAGAAAGAAACAUUUGUCUUUUAUCAGGGAACAGUAUAAUGCAGCAUAUGUUCAGUAGGAAGGGUCCCUAUGAGGUGGUGUACUCCGGGCUCCUAGUACUCCAGCCUCCGUGUACUCCGGGCUCCUAGUACCACAGGCUCCUAGUACUACAGGCUCCUAGUUAUCCGGGCUCCUAAGACUCUAGGCUCCUAGUACUACAGGCUCCUAGUACUCCAAGCUCCUAGUACUCCGGGCUCCUAGUACUACAGGCUCCUAGUAAUCCGGGCUCCUAAAACUCAAGGCUCCUAGUACUCCGGGCUCCUAGUACUCCAAGCUCCUAGUACUCCAGGCUCCUGGUACUACAGGCUCCUAGUACUCCAAGCUCCUAGUACUCCAGGCUCCCGGUACUCUAGGCUCCCAGUACUACAGGCUCCCAGCACUACAGGCUCCUAGUACUACAGGCUCCUAGUACUCUAGGCUCCUAGUACUCCAGGCUCCCAGUACUCUAGGCUCCCGGUACUCUAGGCUCCCAGUACUACAGGCUCCCAGCACUACAGGCUCAUAGUACUACAGGCUCCUAGUACUACAGGCUCCUAGUACUCUAGACUCCUAUUACUCUAGGCUCCCAGUACUCUAGGCUCCCAGUACUACAGGCUCCUAGUACUUCGGGCUCCUAGUAUUCCGGUGAUAUAUAAUUUGUAGUGGUUACAAAUAGCUCUGCUUUUAUCGACUGCGCCACCUGGUAGGGCUUUCAAGAAAAAAGCGUGAGACUUUUCUAGAUUUUCUCGGUUGACGUGUGCAGCAGUUAUAAGAACGACCCAAAGCUCAAAAACAUCCCGUUAACACACGAGACAAUGCUGAAGUUAAUGGAUACAUUAUAGAUCACAAACAGAAACAUGUUUUCCUCUCUUCAUUCACUCAUUUAAUUUAACUUCCGUUUUCAAUUUCAUGGUUGUUUGUCCUACGGAUCCGCGCCUUCUGUGCUCUCCCCCCGCGGGAGCACAACAUGCUGCGUACACAGACACACACACACACACACACGAUCACAUGAAGUCAUCAAUACUUGACCGGGGCAUUGGGCUGCACGUUAAGUACAAAAAACCCACAUACACAUCAGCCACACACGCACAUACACACUCCACUCCGUCCUCUCUGGACUGUCUGCAAACGGAGCGCUAUGAAUCGUUCAGCAUCGAUUUGCCCUACAUUUGUUCCAGAUGUAUCAGCUUCUGUGUUCGUCCACUUCACGACGCGGAUUCCAGGCCUGGGAAGCGUGUCACGUUUUAAUCAACACACCCCCUUUUUCACGCGUGCUACUAAGUCGAACUUUGGCCAAACACUCUCAACGCCGCACUCAACACACUUGUUUGUGAUGACCAGGGACUUUAACCACGCUCGGCUUCCUGCUCAAACGGACAGAAACUGGAGAGAACCCCCAUCAUGUGGCCUAAAUUAGAGAACGUCAUUUCAUGCUUCGUGUAGCAACGUCGUGCAUUUGCUUUGAUUCAGAGGUUCAGAUUGAAGACCCUGUACAUCAGCUCUGCUACUGUUAAAAACGGUGGGAAAACCUUUUUUCCCACAUUGUGUUGUGACUGCUGAGCGUCCGAGGAAAAGCGGUAAAACAAGUAGCCACGUGGCACAAACGGCAAUGACAGGGAAAACGGGAACUUUCUAAAGGCAAAAGCAGCCAGCGGACGUUUUCCUUCAAGCAUGGCAGAGAAACCAGAAUUGAGGAACCGAGGUCAGCUGCUGCUUUACUCGGUACUUUUUUUAAUGGAAAAGACGUGUAAAAGCGGAGAUUCGACUUUGUCCCUGAAAGCAACUUGUGCUCUGCGCGUCGUUACUUUAAGGAUGAAUGAAGCGGGAAGCCGGUGGUUCUCGCUGACGUCGGCGGGCGUAAACCGACCCGUUGACCUUCCCCUUAUCGUGGCGUUUCCUCUCACAGCAGCGCAUGGGUCACUGAGGGGGGGGGAGGAUCGCCUUUUUUACACCUUCUUCUACAAACGUGUAGCACACGCACAGGAAUAGAAAAGUCCCAUUUCAGAAAGCGGAACCGACACAGAGGUUAAAGCUAGCGACGGUCAUCUAUAAUAGAAACAUGCCAUGUCGUGUGAGUCGAAAAGCGCUGGUUCCUCCUCCACGCCGCUGCCCAUUUCUCCUUUGACAGCCUUUUCUUUCCGUCUCCGCUCCAUUAGUCGCCGUACUCGUGACGUCACUUCCCGCCCGGUGCCACAGAAUGGCGUGAUGCACCCGAAGGGAAUCGACUUCUUUCUCGUCGGUGAACCUUUAGCGGGCGGGGAGGACCGACGGCGAGGACGUCAGGAGCGAGUGACUGCCGGCCGGCUGACGUCAUCGCCGCUGAAGGGCGGGUGUUGCUACGGGAAACGGCACAAAGUCCAGGCCCCAAAGACAAACACAGUUAUGCGUUUGGUCGGGAGAGAGUCAGGCAAGUGUUUGGCCAGACAGCAGCAAUCACUUGGGAGUCUUGCAAAUGACCAUAUUUGGAAUGUGGAGGCGUGUCAGUCACAGUAAGCCCCGCCCCAAAGCAUUCCCUGCUUCAUUGGAGUCUAAAUGGACCAUCACUUGCUAAAUGAACUUAAGCUAGAGACCAUAAACUCAUGUUUACACUGUUUACUGAGGGAAUCAGUGGAGGAAGGAGUCAUUUUCUCACAGGCUUGUAUGUGUACAGGGAGUCUCCCCCUGCGGGGGCUUAAUGGGAAACACCUCAAAUAGUACGAGAACUGAACCAGGUGAUCACGUCCCAAUGUCGAGCUAUUACAUUAUUCAUAAACAUGACCAAUUAACGUUAUUCAUCACAUCAUCUGCACUUUAGCCGGUUCCUCUAAUUCUUCUGUUCACACAUGAAUGUUAGAUUUAAAGUACUUCUGUAUCUUGUAAAGCAAUUUCCCCUCUUUACUGUUUAUUCACUGAAGCUGUUUCAUGUUUAUGGUCUUGCUUUACGUUCAAUACUAAUUCCCCUGCAGGACCAGUAAAGUCAUCUAGAGUAAUGCAUCUUUGGCCCCCUGUUAUCCUGGAUGGGGGGAAAACGCAGAGGCCUUAAAGUCCCCGGACGUACGCAGGCCGCAAUGACGCACUACAUGGGCCUAUUUAGACGGCAACGAGCAAUAAGUGGACGCCGUCAACGCAAUGUCCCCCCCCCCCCACUGGUUUGUGGACCACCGUUUUGCGGCAUUAAGUCGCGGCGCUUUUGGCAGCGACAUCUCGGAUCACGCUGGUCGCCGUCUUGAAGUUACGAUAGAGGAGAGCAGUGAAAGAGACACCGCCCGGUCUGAUGGUGAGUUUGACUCUAAAUGGACCAUCAUUUACUAAAUGAUUACUAAAAGAAAGAUUCUAACAGUCAACAAGCAAGUCUGUUGGACAGUAGAUACGAUCCGGUAAAUGAUGCCAAUGACGUCUCUACUUUUGAUGAAGUAAGUAGCUGCUGGUGCUGAUUGACACAUUUGAAUGAGACAUAACGUCUCCUUGCACCCGAAAGUGAGCCGACCCUGAUCGGUGCUGCAUCUGCAGCUCUGCAUUCUGGGUCCACUCAGCCUCACCUUCAAUGCUUUCUUCUUCACAUCUGUCACACCCGCUGCUCCUCCCGGAAGGAAAGAGGCAAACCCAGAUCCCGCUCUCUGCAUCCCGAUCAGCAGACGUAAAGCCGAGACCAGCGGUGGGAAACAUAAUCCCACUGCGCUCACACUGACGGGCUAACUAACCCCGUCUCAGGGGAAGAACAUCUGGACAGGCACUAAACAGGGAUGAGACGCACACUGUAACAAAUUGCUGUAAAUUUACGGUAUGUUACAGUAUGUCAUAAUAACUGUAACAUACAGUUAAAUUUCCAUCCCGUGCUUGUAAAUUAACGGCCAAUGUCAUGAAUAAACAGUUAAAGCUGUCAAUUUACAAUAAUAGCAGACUACCGUAAUUCAACUGCAUGUUACAUAUAUUUUAUGAGGUGGUGGAAAUACACAUACA
Molecule: long non-coding RNA, 7885 nt
Organism: Gasterosteus aculeatus aculeatus (three-spined stickleback)
Lineage: Eukaryota; Metazoa; Chordata; Actinopteri; Perciformes; Gasterosteidae
Source: Ensembl